UUAUAUACUGCAUUAGGUUCCAGUUCAUUAGUAGGGACUCAAACUACAGAGAUAACCUCAGGCCAAAGUUAAUUUAACUAUUCCAUUAUCCAGCUGCUAUAACCAGCACGAGAGAGUAUGGGCAGCUGCCCAACACAUUAACCUUGGCCUUGCAUGGAGCCUGAGAGCGCAUUAAAGGUCUGUGUCUUGGGCUCUAAGCUUUGAACUCUAUGGAGCUUGCUGUGACGAUAUUACUUCACCAGCUGGAGCCAGUACUGCCCUGAGAUUGUCCGCUACAUGCCCCAGAAUGUGGACCCUUGCCUGUGCAUACACAUCUUCUACGCCUUCACUGGUAUGGCCAACAACCAGAUCAAAACCAUCGAGUGGGAUGAUGAGGACCUCUAUGCCAGCAUCAACGGCCUUAAGAACUAGUGAGCUCUGAACUUGGGCUUUGUGCUGGGUUGAAGGCUUUUACAUGAGGCUUUCACGAGUUCCCCAAGAGAUACCUACAGCAGAAUGUUUAGCCUUUGAGUGCUGUCCACAGUCAUUCUCAUGCCAUGCCUCAUUAGUAGAGCUUUCAGCAUCCUUCUCCCCAGGAGAGGCAGGUUGCUGUCAUUUUUCUGGAUUAUUUUCUCCAGGAAAUUCAGAUACCCAGCAUUCUAUUCUGUGUGUCACAGGAGGUGCCAUUCACAAAGGAUUCUUAGUGAAUAGUGCCCCCUGAAGUUUGUCAUGUUGCUGUACAGCCCCACAACAACCUAUCAACUAGCUACCAAUUUAACCCAAAAUUUAACCUAAAAUUGCACCGGCUAAAUGCUUAGCGUAUUUAUUGGUUAACUACUAUGUGCGAGGUGCUUUUCAUUUAUUAUUUUAUAUACCGGCACAAUAAGCGUGAUGAAGUGGGCAUAUUAAAACCAUGUUAAGGUUGAGGAAACUGAGUCAUAGGGAGAUUAAAAGCUUUCCCUAGCCCACAGAACCCAGGAAGGCCAGAUCGCCUUAUUAGCUAGGUUGAUGCUUUUGUCUCAUCAGGAAUCCAAUGGGUAGGUUUUACGGUCAAGCUCACAGGACCAUGGUAUAAAGGACUUAGGUGUGAAUCCUGGCUCUGCCACCUUAUGCGUUGGAUGAUCUUGGUCAAGUUGCUUAAUCUCUCUGAAUACCACUUAAAGGUCAAAUGAUAUUAACAGUUUCUGCUUUGUGGGAUUAUAAGGGUUAAAGAAGCAAUGCAUGUAAAGUGCCUGGCAUUUAGCAGGCACUCAGUAACUGGUAGACACUUCCACUGCCUGUGUUCCUCACUCUCUCCUAGAAUUAGACUUCCAGAUUUCUGGCCUUGUGUAUCCCAGAAGCUCCAGCCAGUCUACUUUCUGUGCUAAGGGGUUGAUUUCUGGCUCCCUCAUCCUGACCAGGAUGCCCUGUCUUUUCUUCCCAGAAACUCCCUUCUGCACCAGGGUCCAUCAGCCCACUGGCAGAGAUGGGAGCAAGAACCUACUCAAUGAGUUAUUUAUAGCGUGCCCUGGAGGACUCAUGGCACAAGGGCCCCUUGAUCCUACAGACAGCUCUGUUCCCAACACAAGGCCUUGUGUGGGAUGUGAGGGUAGAGGGACCGACUGGCAAAUGACAGCUCCUUGCAAGUGGAAUUUCUUUACACUAGUAUCUUUUUAUCUCCAGCAACACAGAACUGAAAACCUUGCUCUCUGUUGGUGGUUAGAACUUUGGAUCCCAGGGGUAAGACCUUGUAUUCAGGACUGAAUCAUUUCCAGAUUAAUCAGUCUCUUCCAAACUCCAAGGACUGUAAGUUUCUGUAACGUGAGUGUACCCAGGGCCUCAGACCCCACUGUAGACUUCUCAGAACUCUUCUCUGACCAGGUCUCCCUGAAGUCUGCUCUUCCUUCAUCACAGCUCUUAACAUACUAUUUUUUUAAUUGGACAUUUCAUGAUUUUUUUGUUAUAUUUUUUUAACUUUGUUUUUUAUUUGACAUAUAAUAACUGUACAUAUUUAUGGGAUACAUAGUGAUGUUUCAACACAUAUAAUGUAGAGUGAUCAGAUAAGGGUAAUUAGCAUAUCCAUCAUCUCAAACAUCUGCCAUUUUUUGUGUUGACAACAUUUAAUAUCCUCUUUUUAGCCAUUUGAAACUAUAAUUAUUGUUAACUAUAGUCAUCCUAUACCACACUGUAUUUUAAGUUCCAUUUACUUAUCUAUCUAUACCUUCCUCUAUAUGAGCUCCUCCAGGGCAGAAACUAUUUUAUUCACUACUCUAUCCCAGCAAUGCUAAUAAAUGACAGAAUAACUGAAUGACAGUAAAUGACAAUAGAUGACAGAAUAACUGAAUGUAUGUCCAGGUAAAUAGUAAGGAGGAUAGGUGGCAAGACAGAGUAUCCAGAGGCUACUGUGAUUCAUGCUGCAAUGACUUAUUGACUCCAGAUUCUCUGACAUGGUGGCCACUGCUGAGAACCGCCAGACCUUCAUCCAGUCAGCCAUACAGUUUCUGAGGAAGUACAACUUCGAUGGGCUGGACAUUCAUUGGGAAUAUCCAGGCAAUCGUGGCAGCCCAGCUGACACCCAGCAGCUCUUCACCAUCCUGUUGAAGGUGUCUCACCCUCACUGUGUCCAAAGAACACACAAUCUGGCCCACAGCAGGCUGGGACAAGGCCUCUCUCUGGAGAGGGGUUCUGAGAGAGGCUGCAUAUAUCCUGGCCAGAGGUGUGGAUCUCACCCUUUCUGGCUCACAGCCUCAUCUCUUUAGUGUAAGAGCAGAUCUCUCUUGUGAGGAAAACUGCCACUGGCAGUGAGAAGUAUAUCUUUGAGCACCAGUGUUGGCUUUAAUGCUCUUAUUUCCCCUUCCUUUCCUUCGUUUUUCUGAUAAUUAGAUGCAAUCACAUACAGCUUGCAGGGCUGAAGGCCAUUUUUGUCUCUUUAAUACAAUCUCCCUCCUUUUCUUUUUAAAUUGUACUCUGGACAUUAUUUGUUUAUUUUAAUUUAACUGUCAGAGGAUGACCGAAUUUCCCUCAUUUCCAAGUUUUCGGAAGACAGCUUACUGUUGUCCCCAGAGACCAAUGACAGCUUUUGGAUCAAAGGACUCUAAAUCAAGCACUUUGCAGCUUUCUUCAUAAGAGCUGUGACCUCGUCACAUGCCCACUGGUCCCUCCAGCCUGUGUUCGGUGUCUUCUGUUUCACAGGAAGUGCAUGAGGCUUUUGAGCAAGAGUCUACCCGCAGCAAAAAGCCCAGAUGGCUGAUUUCUGCUGCUGUGUCAGCUGGCAAAGGUACCAUUGGGACUGCCUACCAGAUGUCCAAGAUGUCAAGGUACAUGGACCUCAUCAGUGUGAUGAACUGUGACCUAAGGGGCUCCUGGGAGGGCUUCAUAGGAGAGGACACCCCCGUUUGCAGGACCUAAUCACCAGGGAGACUACAAAAACUUUAAUAUGGAUUAUGCAGUGAACUCCUGGAAGAGCCAAGGUGCCCCUGCUGAGAAGCUGAUGGUGGGCUUUGGGGCUUAUGCUUACAUCUUCACUCUCACUAAUCCUGCCAAUCAUGGCCUGGAUGCUCCCACUUCUGGCCCUGGAACUGAUGGGCCCUAUACACAGGAGGCUGGGAUCCUUGCCUACUUGGAGGUUGCAGAGUACCCACCUCUACCCUGGGAACCAGCUUGACUUCCAUCGUCACUGUAGCACCUGGAGGUGGCAGUGGAUUCUGUACUGGGAAGUCCAGUGGUCUGUAUCCUAGCCCCACCAGCAAGCGUGCCUUCUACAACUGUGUGGAUGAGCACACCUAUGAGGUAGCUUGUCAGGAAGGCCUGGUCUUUGAUACCAGCUGCUCUUGCUGUAACUGGGCAUAAGCUAUUCAACUGUUGGGUCUCUUGGAGAUUAUAAGACAAAAGGAUGAUUAAAGGGAAGUUUUGCA
This is a long non-coding RNA of Rhinopithecus roxellana (golden snub-nosed monkey), 3872 nucleotides long. RefSeq lists it as uncharacterized. The transcript has 4 exons. Lineage: Eukaryota; Metazoa; Chordata; Mammalia; Primates; Cercopithecidae. The record is from RefSeq and is a predicted model, not a curated record.